GUAGUCCACGCCGUAAACUAUGAAUGCUAGCUGUUAUUCGUAUCGACCCGAGUAGUAGCGAAGCUAACGCGUUAAGCAUCCCGCCUGUGGAGUACGGUCGCAAGACUAAAACAUAAAGGAAUUGACGGGGACCCGCACAAGCGGUGGAGCGUGUUGUUUAAUUCGAUGGUAAGCGAAGAACCUUACCCAGACUUGACAUCCUCGGAAGCACUGCGAAAGCAGAGUGUGCCUCCGGGAACCAAGUGACAGGUGUUGCAUGGCCGUCGUCAGCUCGUGUCGUGAGAUGUUUGGUUAAGUCCAUCAACGAGCGCAACCCUUGUGGCUAGUUGAAUUUUUCUAGUCAGACUGCCCUGGUAACAGGGAGGAAGGAGGGGAUGAUGUCAGGUCAGUAUUACCCUUACGUCUGGGGCUACAAACACGCUACAAUGGCCGGUACAAAGGGCUGCCAAGUCGCGAGACGGAGCAAAUCCCAUCAAAACCGGUCCCAGUUCGGAUUGCAGGCUGAAACUCGCCUGCAUGAAGUCGGAAUCGCUAGUAACGGUAGGUCAGCACACUACCGUGAAUACGUUCCCGGGCCUUGUACACACCGCCCGUCAAACCAUGAAAGUCGCCAAUACCUGACGUCUUAGCUAGUCUAGGCCUAAGGUAGGGGAGAUGAUUGGGGUUAAGUCGUAACAAGGUAAC
RNAcentral lists this ribosomal RNA (684 nucleotides) under uncultured Candidatus Saccharibacteria bacterium. RNAcentral describes it as "bacterial SSU rRNA". It matches the Rfam family "Bacterial small subunit ribosomal RNA", at positions 790 to 1500 of the family's 1533-position model. Lineage: Bacteria; Candidatus Saccharimonadota. The record is from RNAcentral.